RNAcentral lists this ribosomal RNA (482 nucleotides) under uncultured bacterium. Its description in RNAcentral is "partial 16S ribosomal RNA". It matches the Rfam family "Bacterial small subunit ribosomal RNA", at positions 29 to 506 of the family's 1533-position model. The record is from RNAcentral.
AUUGAACGCUGGCGGCAUGCUUUACACAUGCAAGUCGAACGGCAGCGCGGGCUUCGGCCUGGCGGCGAGUGGCGAACGGGUGAGUAAUGCAUCGGAACGUGCCCAGUAGUGGGGGAUAGCCCGGCGAAAGCCGGAUUAAUACCGCAUACGGCCUGAGGGUGAAAGCGGGGGACCGAAAGGCCUCGCGCUAUUGGAGCGGCCGAUGUCGGAUUAGCUAGUUGGUGGGUAAAGGCUUACCAAGGCGACGAUCCGUAGCUGGUCUGAGAGGACGACCAGCCACACGGGGACUGAGACACGGCCCAGACUCCUACGGGAGGCAGCAGUGGGGAAUUUUGGACAAUGGGGGCAACCCUGAUCCAGCCAUGCCGCGGGCGGGAAGAAGGCCUUCGGGUUGUAAACCGCUUUUGUUCGGGAAGAAAUCCUCUGGGCUAAUACCCCAGGGGGAUGACGGUACCGGAAGAAUAAGCACCGGCGAACUACGU